RNAcentral lists this transfer RNA (73 nucleotides) under Winmispira thermophila DSM 6192. RNAcentral's name for it is "tRNA-Lys (TTT) (tRNA-Lys-TTT-1-1)". It matches the Rfam family "tRNA". Rfam says of the family: Transfer RNA (tRNA) molecules are approximately 80 nucleotides in length. Their secondary structure includes four short double-helical elements and three loops (D, anti-codon, and T loops). RNAcentral also lists the same sequence under 7 other names. Lineage: Bacteria; Pseudomonadati; Spirochaetota; Spirochaetia; Winmispirales; Winmispiraceae. The record is from RNAcentral.
GGGCCGCUAGCUCAGCUGGUAGAGCAACGCCCUUUUAAGGCGUGGGUCACAGGUUCGAAUCCUGUGCGGCUCA